AACGAACGCUGGCGGCGUGCCUAACACAUGCAAGUCGAGCGAGAAAAUUUCCUUCGGGAGAUGAGUAAAGCGGCGCACGGGUGAGUAGCACGUAGGUAACCUACCUCUCAGUUCGGAAUAACCAGCUGAAAGUUGGCUAAUGCCGGAUAAGACCACGAUCUCUGCGGAGUUCGUGGCCAAAGGCGGCCUCUUCAUGAAAGCUGAUGCUGAGAGAUGGGCCUGCGCACCAUUAGCUAGUUGGUGGGGUAACGGCUCACCAAGGCUUUGAUGGUUAGCUGGUCUGAGAGGAUGACCAGCCACACUGGGACUGAGACACGGCCCAGACUCCUACGGGAGGCAG
This 340-nucleotide ribosomal RNA is filed under the name uncultured Pseudomonadota bacterium. RNAcentral's name for it is "bacterial SSU rRNA". It matches the Rfam family "Bacterial small subunit ribosomal RNA", at positions 29 to 351 of the family's 1533-position model. Lineage: Bacteria; Pseudomonadati; Pseudomonadota. The record is from RNAcentral.